RNAcentral lists this long non-coding RNA (844 nucleotides) under Gallus gallus (chicken). RNAcentral describes it as "lncRNA (ENSGALG00010003684.1)". Lineage: Eukaryota; Metazoa; Chordata; Aves; Galliformes; Phasianidae. The record is from RNAcentral.
AGGGACUGCAUUUUCCACCCUUCCAGCUGUGGAAGGGUCAGGGUUAGCAUUAGCAUUAGGGUUAGGGUUAGGGUUAGAGUUAGUGUUAGGGUUAGAGUUAGGGGUAGGGUUUGGGUUAGAGUUUGGGCCAGGGUUAGGGAUAGUGUUAGGGAUAGGGUUAGGGUUAGCAUUAGCAUUAGGGUUAGGGAUAGGGUUAGAGUUAGGGAUAGAGAUAGGGUUAGUGUUAGGUUUAAGGGUUAGAGAUAGGGAUAGGGUUAGGGUUUGGGCUAGGGUUAGGGAUAGGGAUAGGGAUAGGGUUAGCGUUAGGGCUAGAGAUAGAGAUACAUAGAGAUAGAGAUAGAGAUAGAGAUAGAGAUAGAGAUAGAGAUAGAGAUAGAGAUAGAGAUAGAGAUAGAGAUAGAGAUAGAGGUAGAGGUAGAGGUAGAGAUAGGGACAGGGACAGGGACAGGGACAGGGACAGGGAUAGGGAUAGGGAUAGGGAUAGGGAUAGGGAUAGGGAUAGGGAUAGGGAUAGGGAUAGGGAUAGGGAUAGGGUUAGGGCUCAGGUUAGCAUUCCAUGCUGAUUGCUGCUUCAUUUAUUUUUUGUUCUUUUUCACUGAGCUGCAUAGGACUACAGUUGACUUCCACAGCAGUGGUGGCUCUAUCGCAGGUUGCUCCAUUAGAUGGCCCUACAGGUUUGCUACCUCAGAGCAGUGUGACCAAAGCCCACGCAUGGCCUCCACUGUUGGCUGUCCCAGGCUGAGGAUCAGUCCCACUCACAACAUUCCAACUCCUCUCUGUUUGGUCUUACAGGAAAAAGCACAUGCUUUCCAUCCUGUACAGUAAACAGAGCCUUAAUCCAGGC